CCCCUAGUAACUGCGAGUGAAAUGGGAAAAGCUCAAAUUUGAAAUCUGGCAGUCUCCUUUUUCUUCUUUGGCUGUCCGAGUUGUAAUCUAGAGAAGUGCUUACCUACACUGGACCAUGUAUAAGUCUCCUGGAAUGGAGCGUCAUAGAGGGUGAGAAUCCCGUCUUUGACAUGGACUGCCAGUGUGUUGUGGUGUGCUCUCAAAGAGUCGAGUUGUUUGGGAAUGCAGCUCUAAAUGGGUGGUAAACUCCAUCUAAAGCUAAAUAUUGGCAAGAGACCGAUAGUGAACAAGUACCGUGAGGGAAAGAUGAAAAGGACUUUGGAAAGAGAGUUAAACAGUAUGUGAAAUUGUUGAAAGGGAAACGCUUGAAGUCAGUUAUGUUGGUUAGGGAUCAGCCCAGCUAAUUUUGCUGAGUGAAUUUCCUAGUCUGACAGGCCAACAUCAGUUCUGACUGCUAGAAAAGAGCAGAGGGAAUGUGGCACCUUUGGGUGUGUUAUAGCCUUUUGUCAUAUGUGGCAGUUGGGACUGAGGAAUGCAGCGUGCUGUAAAGCUGGGUUAUGACCACUUUCGCGCUUAGGAUGUUGGCUUUUAAUGGCUUCAAUCGACCCGUCUUGAAACACGGACCAAGGAGUCUAACAUGCCUGCAAGUG
This 650-nucleotide ribosomal RNA is filed under the name Amanita sp. RNAcentral describes it as "partial large subunit ribosomal RNA". It matches the Rfam family "Eukaryotic large subunit ribosomal RNA", at positions 77 to 692 of the family's 3401-position model. The record is from RNAcentral. Lineage: Eukaryota; Fungi; Basidiomycota; Agaricomycetes; Agaricales; Amanitaceae.